Molecule: long non-coding RNA, 940 nt
Filed under: Mus pahari (shrew mouse)
Lineage: Eukaryota; Metazoa; Chordata; Mammalia; Rodentia; Muridae
Description: lncRNA (MGP_PahariEiJ_G0004601.1)
Source: RNAcentral
GAUUUGCUAAGGCGAUGCAGAGUAAGUUGGACGUAUGUAACCGAGAAGGGAUACCCGCUGUGGGAGGUGCAAGCCGCUGAACAGCUCAACAGAGACAACGCGUGGAAGAUAUCUAUCUAAGCCAAGGCAGGAGCCUUUGAAUAGGGGGCGCUGAUUCAACACAGGACCAAAGGCAACAGGACUGAGUGAAUAUAGCCUGAAACCCCCAUAGCCAGUGAAGUGAACCGCCACAUUGACUUGCACAUGCGCAAAAUGAAGUGAGUGGCACAUCUCCGCACCUGCUCGCAAAUCUGUUCAAAGUGGACUAAAGACGGCUGAAUUCGUGCUCAAUGAUUCUCAUGGUUCCGUGGUGGUAAUGAAUCCAGACGGGAAAGCAGAAAUGUUGUGCAUGGGAGGCAGCUCUGGCAUUUCACAUACCACAGACAAAGAGUACAUGGAGGGGGUCACGAGGGUGAGGUAUUAUUUGCAAAACAAGGAAACUGGAAGACUUGGCUCAGAGGAAGGCACGCAGGAGCUGCUGUGCAAGAACCACAUCUCACUUCUUCAGCUCAGCACAGCGGAGGAGGCCAUGCAGCUCUCCACAAGUUCCAACGUUGAACUUUUCCACAGCAUUGAGCCUAAGGAAUACAUAGGUGAUUUAUUUAAACUCAAAUCAAAAACCAGCUGUGCCAACCUGAAGAAAUUUGAGGAAGUCUUUAACCAGGAAACAUUUGGGUGGCUUCUGAAAUCCUGCGAGAGACAACCAGCUGAAAGAGAAUGAAGGUCUUCAAGCCUUUCAUUAAGAUUGCCGCGCACUGUAGGAGAUGCAAGAAUUUUAACUCCAUGUUUGUAAACAUCAGGUAAGAGGAGCUGUCCUAGGGGAAGCUGACUCUACAGAUUUAAAUAUAUAUUUAUACAUAUAUAUGUUUUAGAAUACCAUAUAAUUAUAGAAAUAUUGACU